UGGGAAUUUGGACAAUGGGCGAAGCUGAUCCAGCAAUGCCGCGUGUGUGAAGAAGGCCUUCGGGUUGUAAAGCACUUUUGUCCGGAAAGAAAUCCUUGGCUCUAAUACAGUCGGGGGAUGACGGUACCGGAAGAAUAAGCACCGGCUAACUACGUGCCAGCAGCCGCGGUAAUACGUAGGGUGCAAGCGUUAAUCGGAAUUACUGGGCGUAAAGCGUGCGCAGGCGGUUUGCUAAGACCGAUGUGAAAUCCCCGGGCUCAACCUGGGAACUGCAUUGGUGACUGGCAGGCUAGAGUAUGGCAGAGGGGGGUAGAAUUCCACGUGUAGCAGUGAAAUGCGUAGAGAUGUGGAGGAAUACUGAUGGCGAAGGCAGCCCCCUGGGCAAUACUGACGCUCAUGCACGAAAGCGUGGGGAGCAAACAGGAUUAGAUACCCUGGUAGUCCACGCCCU
RNAcentral lists this ribosomal RNA (451 nucleotides) under uncultured bacterium. RNAcentral describes it as "partial 16S ribosomal RNA". It matches the Rfam family "Bacterial small subunit ribosomal RNA", at positions 357 to 803 of the family's 1533-position model. The record is from RNAcentral.